GAUGAACGCUGGCGGCGUGCCUAAUACAUGCAAGUCGAGCGAACAGACGAGGAGCUUGCUCCUCUGACGUUAGCGGCGGACGGGUGAGUAACACGUGGAUAACCUACCUAUAAGACUGGGAUAACUUCGGGAAACCGGAGCUAAUACCGGAUAAUAUAUUGAACCGCAUGGUUCAAUAGUGAAAGACGGUUUUGCUGUCACUUAUAGAUGGAUCCGCGCCGCAUUAGCUAGUUGGUAAGGUAACGGCUUACCAAGGCAACGAUGCGUAGCCGACCUGAGAGAGUGAUCGGCCACACUGGAACUGAGACGCGGUCAAGACUCCUACGGGAGGCAGCAGUAGGGAAUCUUCCGCAAUGGGCGAAAGCCUGACGGAGCAACGCCGAGUGAGUGAUGAAGGUCUACGGAUCGUAAAACUCUGUUAUUAGGGAAGAACAAAUGUGUAAGUAACUAUGCACGGCUUGACGGUACCUAGUCAGAAAGCCACGGCUAACUACGUG
RNAcentral lists this ribosomal RNA (497 nucleotides) under uncultured bacterium. Its description in RNAcentral is "partial 16S ribosomal RNA". It matches the Rfam family "Bacterial small subunit ribosomal RNA", at positions 28 to 507 of the family's 1533-position model. The record is from RNAcentral.